CGAACCUGCCUCUUAGCGGGGGAUAACUAUUGGAAACGAUAGCUAAUACCGCAUAAAAGUCGAUAUCGCAUGAUAUUGAUUUGAAAGGUGCAAUUGCAUCACUAAGAGAUGGACCUGCGUUGUAUUAGCUAGUUGGUGAGGUAACGGCUCACCAAGGCGACGAUACAUAGCCGACCUGAGAGGGUGAUCGGCCACACUGGGACUGAGACACGGCCCAG
Molecule: ribosomal RNA, 218 nt
Filed under: uncultured bacterium
Lineage: Bacteria
Description: partial 16S ribosomal RNA
Rfam family: Bacterial small subunit ribosomal RNA
Source: RNAcentral